This 513-nucleotide ribosomal RNA is filed under the name uncultured bacterium. RNAcentral's name for it is "partial 16S ribosomal RNA". It matches the Rfam family "Bacterial small subunit ribosomal RNA", at positions 28 to 523 of the family's 1533-position model. The record is from RNAcentral.
GACGAACGCUGGCGGCAUGCCUAAUACAUGCAAGUCGAGCGAACAGAUGAAGUGCUUGCACUUCUGACGUUAGCGGCGAACGGGUGAGUAACACGUAAGGAAUCUACCUAUAAGCGGGGGAUAACAUUCGGAAACGGGUGCUAAUACCGCAUAAUAUCUUCUUCCGCAUGGAAGAAGAUUGAAAGACGGCUCUGCUGUCACUUAUAGAUGACCUUGCGGUGCAUUAGUUAGUUGGUAGGGUAACGGACUACCAAGACGAUGAUGCAUAGCCGACCUGAGAGGGUGAUCGGCCACAUUUGGACUGAGACACGGCCCAAACUCCUACGGGAGGCAGCAGUAGGGAAUCUUCCGCAAUGGGCGAAAGCCUGACGGAGCAAUGCCGCGUGAGUGAAGAAGGCCUUCGGGUCGUAAAACUCUGUUAUAAGAGAAGAACAAAUUGUAGAGUAACUGCUACAGUCUUGACGGUAUCUUAUCAGAAAGCCACGGCUAACUACGUGCCAGCCGCCGCGGUAA